GUUGGGUAGGGGAGCGUUCUGUAAGCCUGUGAAGGUGGCCUGUGAGGGUUGCUGGAGGUAUCAGAAGUGCGAAUGCUGACAUAAGUAACGAUAAAGCGGGUGAAAAGCCCGCUCGCCGGAAGACCAAGGGUUCCUGUCCAACGUUAAUCGGGGCAGGGUGAGUCGACCCCUAAGGCGAGGCCGAAAGGCGUAGUCGAUGGGAAACGGGUUAAUAUUCCCGUACUUGGUGUUACUGCGAAGGGGGGACGGAGAAGGCUAUGUUGGCCGGGCGACGGUUGUCCCGGUUUAAGCGUGUAGGUGUGUGUUCCAGGUAAAUCCGGUUCACUUUAACACUGAGGCGUGACGACGAGGCACUACGGUGCUGAAGCAACAAAUGCCCUGCUUCCAGGAAAAGCCUCUAAGCAUCAGGUAACAUCAAAUCGUACCCCAAACCGACACAGGUGGUCAGGUAGAGAAUACCAAGGCGCUUGAGAGAACUCGGGUGAAGGAACUAGGCAAAAUGGUGCCGUAACUUCGGGAGAAGGCACGCUGACACGUAGGUGAAGUGAUUUACUCAUGGAGCUGAAGUCAGUCGAAGAUACCAGCUGGCUGCAACUGUUUAUUAAAAACACAGCACUGUGCAAACACGAAAGUGGACGUAUACGGUGUGACGCCUGCCCGGUGCCGGAAGGUUAAUUGAUGGGGUCAGCGCAAGCGAAGCUCCUGAUCGAAGCCCCGGUAAACGGCGGCCGUAACUAUAACGGUCCUAAGGUAGCGAAAUUCCUUGUCGGGUAAGUUCCGACCUGCACGAAUGGCGUAAUGAUGGCCAGGCUGUCUCCACCCGAGACUCAGUGAAAUUGAACUCGCUGUGAAGAUGCAGUGUACCCGCGGCAAGACGGAAAGACCCCGUGAACCUUUACUAUAGCUUGACACUGAACAUUGAGCCUUGAUGUGUAGGAUAGGUGGGAGGCUUUGAAGUGUGGACGCCAGUCUGCAUGGAGCCGACCUUGAAAUACCACCCUUUAAUGUUUGAUGUUCUAACGUGGACCCGUAAUCCGGGUUGCGGACAGUGUCUGGUGGGUAGUUUGACUGGGGCGGUCUCCUCCUAAAGAGUAACGGAGGAGCACGAAGGUUGGCUAAUCCUGGUCGGACAUCAGGAGGUUAGUGCAAUGGCAUAAGCCAGCUUGACUGCGAGCGUGACGGCGCGAGCAGGUGCGAAAGCAGGUCAUAGUGAUCCGGUGGUUCUGAAUGGAAGGGCCAUCGCUCAACGGAUAAAAGGUACUCCGGGGAUAACAGGCUGAUACCGCCCAAGAGUUCAUAUCGACGGCGGUGUUUGGCACCUCGAUGUCGGCUCAUCACAUCCUGGGGCUGAAGUAGGUCCCAAGGGUAUGGCUGUUCGCCAUUUAAAGUGGUACGCGAGCUGGGUUUAGAACGUCGUGAGACAGUUCGGUCCCUAUCUGCCGUGGGCGCUGGAGAACUGAGGGGGGCUGCUCCUAGUACGAGAGGACCGGAGUGGACGCAUCACUGGUGUUCGGGUUGUCAUGCCAAUGGCACUGCCCGGUAGCUAAAUGCGGAAGAGAUAAGUGCUGAAAGCAUCUAAGCACGAAACUUGCCCCGAGAUGAGUUCUCCCUGAGACUUUAGGUCUCCUGAAGGAACGUUGAAGACGACGACGUUGAUAGGCCGGGUGUGUAAGCGCAGCGAUGCGUUGAGCUAACCGGUACUAAUGAACCGUGAGGCUUAACC
RNAcentral lists this ribosomal RNA (1723 nucleotides) under Salmonella enterica. RNAcentral describes it as "bacterial LSU rRNA". It matches the Rfam family "Bacterial large subunit ribosomal RNA", at positions 1223 to 2925 of the family's 2925-position model. Lineage: Bacteria; Pseudomonadati; Pseudomonadota; Gammaproteobacteria; Enterobacterales; Enterobacteriaceae. The record is from RNAcentral.